Molecule: ribosomal RNA, 468 nt
Filed under: uncultured bacterium
Lineage: Bacteria
Description: partial 16S ribosomal RNA
Rfam family: Bacterial small subunit ribosomal RNA
Source: RNAcentral
GAUGAACGCUGGCGGCGUGCCUAACACAUGCAAGUCGAGCGAUUCUCUUCGGAGAAGAGCGGCGGACGGGUGAGUAACGCGUGGGUAACCUGCCCUGUACACACGGAUAACAUACCGAAAGGUAUGCUAAUACGAGAUAAUAUGCUUUUAUCGCAUGGUAGAAGUAUCAAAGCUCUGGCGGUACAGGAUGGACCCACGUCUGAUUAGCUAGUUGGUAAGGUAACGGCUUACCAAGGCGACGAUAAGUAGCCGACCUGAGAGGAUGAUCGGCCACAUUGGAACUGAGACGCGGCCCAAACUCCUACGGGAGGCAGCAGUGGGGAAUAUUGCACAAUGGGCGAAAGCCUGAUGCAGCAACGCCGCGUGAGCGAUGAAGGCCUUCGGGUCGUAAAGCUCUGUCCUCAAGGAAGAUAAUGACGGUACUUGAGGAGGAAGCCCCGGCUAACUACGUGCCAGCAGCCGCGGUAA